CUAAAAUCUAAAAUUGCCAAAAAGUAGGAGCUGGGGAUUGUGGCUAAAGCGGUAGUGUGCUUGCCUGGCAUGUGCACAGUGCUGGGUUCGAUUCUCAGCACCACAUACAAAUAAAAUAAAGAUGUUGUGUCCACCGAUAAACUAAAAAAUAAAUUUAAAAAAUUAUCUCCCUCUCUUUCAAAAUAAAUAAAUAAAAUAGCCAAAAAGUAAGUAAUUUGGGCUUCUGAACCAUGACUACAUGGAUGUUUAGGAUUUGGAUCCUAAACAAGAUUUUUUUUUUUAGAUUUAAAAAAAUCUUUAUUCUUAAUAUUUAAUCUGUGAUAUAAUCUCUUGCAUCUUUGACACACAGUGAAAGGAAGGGCUUUUGGGGCUAUUUGGUGUCUGCCUGUCCACUGUCAAAUCAACUCGCAUUAGAAUCUGGCACAUGAGUAGUAUGCAGUGAAUAUAUAGCCAUGCACACACGUAUAUUUCAGUUGAAUAUACAUAUGUAUUUAUACAUUUCACACAUAUUGCUUGUGUUCAGAUCAUAGCUUUAGUGUGCAGUUUAUUUCUAAUGUCCAAAUUUCAGGAACUGUUCUUCUCUCUACUUAGAUAUUUUGGUGUUUCCCUUCCCUUAUAGGUAUAAAAGUUGUUAGAGAUAAAACGGCACUGGGGUUGUGGCUCAGCGGUAGAGCACUUGCCUAGCACAUGUGAGGCCCUGGGAUCGAUCCUCAGCACCACAUAAAAUAAAUAAAAUAAAGGUAUUAUAUCCAACUUCAACU
Molecule: long non-coding RNA, 761 nt
Filed under: Marmota monax (woodchuck)
Lineage: Eukaryota; Metazoa; Chordata; Mammalia; Rodentia; Sciuridae
Source: RNAcentral